Panicum virgatum (switchgrass) is the source of this 1566-nucleotide long non-coding RNA. RefSeq lists it as uncharacterized. The transcript has 2 exons. The record is from RefSeq and is a predicted model, not a curated record. NCBI's taxonomy places the organism in Eukaryota, Viridiplantae, Streptophyta, Magnoliopsida, Poales, Poaceae.
CAAGUGCUCGACGGCCUUGGUGUCGGCUCUGGUGUUCUUCCAUCAAAGGGAAAAUCGACCCCAAAUCCCGGUCGCUUUAGGUGGAUUGGUGCCGGAGCGCUGUGUUUCCUUGGCCGCCGCAAGCGCAUCUCAGAUCAGGCAAGGCGCUGCCCAGGAUCAGGGGGGUUGAAAUGACGAGCUAUCUACGGCGGUUUGUGUAUCUGGUGGUGGAUGGCAAGAGGCCCCGCACUUUGGACCUGCACCGCAUCGACAUGGCGCGCUUCUUCACUCAGAGAUCGCCACUGAUUGGGGCCGCUGUGGACGCUCGGCUGCCUCGCCCCCAGAUGACCUUCUAUGCCCCCUCGUCGGAGGACCGCAGUGGCAGAUUGCAGUUCCUUCUUCUACAUUGCAACAAGGUGCUCGCCACGGACCAGAUGAGCCAGGCUAGCAUAUACGACGCCGGCCUGAACGCCUUGCGCACCGCGCCCACUCUUAGCAGACCCUAGUACAGCCCCAUCUCCGUCACCGUCGGGCAAAGACUCUACGUCCUCGACUCAUCCCGCAGAGUGGUUGGUGCCGGUGACAAGGAGCAUUGCUUCGAGGCACUCGUCUACGGACCCGACGGCGGAGGGUACGAUGACUGGCGCUACAGCUAUCUCCCUUCUCCACCCUACCGCCCUGGCGACAUCGACGCCUAUGCUGUGGUCGGUGGCUCCGACGUGUGGGUGUCCUCGGAGGACGAGGGCACCUACUCGUUCGACACCGUGCGCGGCACAUGGUCCAAGCAGGGAGAUUGGCCAUUGUAGUUCCGUGGCCUUGCCGAGUACGUUCCCGAGUACAAGCUCUGGUUUGGCCUCUCCUCCAGUGAGAGCAGCAACCUUUUCUGCACCUUCAACCUCGCCGCCGCCGCCAGGCGGCUCUCGCCUCCUAUCCCACGUAAUGUCUGGGAAGAUCUCUGCCCGCCCAAGGGAUGGCUCCAGGUUACAUCCUCACUCGUGCACUUGGGCUCCGGCAGGUUUUGCAUCGCCAGAUUUUUCUGUGACGAGCCCGGUGAUGCUGAUGAUGAUCCCUGGAAGAUGUUUGCUAUUCUUAUAGCCGUGGAGGUACGUCCGCGAGGGAAGUCAGGCAAAGGACUUCAAAUGGUCAGGCACAUAUCCGAAUGUUACAGCCUUCCUGACAAUAACCUCAACCAGUGGGUGCUUUGAUAAUGUUCUGACUACUGGCAAGUUUGGAUCUGGCCGCGGUUCAAGCUAGGAGGGACAUGUCACUUUUGAUUGAUCAGAUGGUGAACCUGGACAGCAUGCCAUCUGUGGCCUCCGUCCAGAUUCUCCUUGGCGACCAACAUAGUGCUACUCUUCUCUGCACUGGCAUCCAAGGUGCUCCACAAUAAGCAAUCUGCUUGUUGGUUUCCCUUGCAAUCGGGUCAAACGUAACCUUGCACCUACUCUGUUCACUAGUUUUUGCUCGUCUAAAAAAUUGUGGAUCCCAUCAGCACAUGGAUGUUCACAUUGAACAUAUCGAACUCACUGCAGUAAAAGGAUAUUGUUGUUCUUUGGGUCAAAUGUAACCUUGCACCUACUUUGUUCA